Molecule: ribosomal RNA, 231 nt
Filed under: uncultured bacterium
Lineage: Bacteria
Description: partial 16S ribosomal RNA
Rfam family: Bacterial small subunit ribosomal RNA
Source: RNAcentral
AGUAAAGUGGCGACCGGGUGAGUAACACGUGACUAACCUACCUUCGAGUGGGGGAUAACCUCGGGAAACCGAGGCUAAUACCGCAUAACAUCGCAAGAUCAAAGCAGCAAUGCGCUGGAAGAGGGGGUCGCGGCUGAUUAGCUAGUUGGCGGGGUAACGGCCCACCAAGGCGAAGAUCGGUAUCCGGCCUGAGAGGGCGCACGGACACACUGGAACUGAAACACGGUCCAG